This 799-nucleotide ribosomal RNA is filed under the name uncultured bacterium. Its description in RNAcentral is "bacterial SSU rRNA". It matches the Rfam family "Bacterial small subunit ribosomal RNA", at positions 62 to 841 of the family's 1533-position model. The record is from RNAcentral.
UCGAGCGGACAGAUGGGAGCUUGCUCCCUGAUGUUAGCGGCGGACGGGUGAGUAACACGUGGGUAACCUGCCUGUAAGACUGGGAUAACUCCGGGAAACCGGGGCUAAUACCGGAUGCUUGAUUGAACCGCAUGGUUCAAUUAUAAAAGGUGGCUUUUAGCUACCACUUACAGAUGGACCCGCGGCGCAUUAGCUAGUUGGUGAGGUAACGGCUCACCAAGGCAACGAUGCGUAGCCGACCUGAGAGGGUGAUCGGCCACACUGGGACUGAGACACGGCCCAGACUCCUACGGGAGGCAGCAGUAGGGAAUCUUCCGCAAUGGACGAAAGUCUGACGGAGCAACGCCGCGUGAGUGGUGAAGGUUUUCGGAUCGUAAAACUCUGUUGUUAGGGAAGAACAAGUACCGUUCGAAUAGGGCGGUACCUUGACGGUACCUAACCAGAAAGCCACGGCCAACUACGUGCCAGCAGCCGCGGUAAUACGUAGGUGGCAAGCGUUGUCCGGAAUUAUUGGGCGUAAAGCGCGCGCAGGCGGUUUCUUAAGUCUGAUGUGAAAGCCCCCGGCUCAACCGGGGAGGGUCAUUGGAAACUGGGGAACUUGAGUGCAGAAGAGGAGAGUGGAAUUCCACGUGUAGCGGUGAAAUGCGUAGAGAUGUGGAGGAACACCAGUGGCGAAGGCGACUCUCUGGUCUGUAACUGACGCUGAGGCGCGAAAGCAUGGGGAGCGAACGGGACUAGAUACCCUGGUAGUCCACGCCGUAAACGAUGAGUGCUAAGUGUUAGAGGGUUUCCGCCCUUU